GCGGAAAUCCCAGGGGUCAUCCGGGCGCGGGGUCACUCGGCCACGCACUGUGGUGCCACGUGGGGGAAAAGUUUCCAACUCUGCCUGUUGGUGCUCCUACUGCGCCCCGGCGGAGCAAAGGCCCGCGCUUUGGCACCCGCUCCCAGUUCUGUCGCCUCCAGUCGCGCCCCCCUCCCAGGGACGCCCCCCUUGUGCCCCUUCUCUGAACACCCUCCCUCGCAGCGCAGGUCCCCAAGGGAAAACACCCUUGGGGGCUGGGGAUUUCCCGAGAAAGCGGCCUCUGGUCGGCCGGGGGUAGGGGAUCCAGGGGCAAGUGUCCCGAGGAGGAGGUGGGGGGCGCGCGCGGAAUGGCCUGGGAACAGGGGCCCGCACGCGUCCGCCCUGAGACAUGCCGGAUCCUCCGGCGGCUUCCACGCCCUCGCGCGCCAACUGUGCCCGGCCGCGGCCGACCCCACUCGGGCGGCCCCCUCCACGGACAGCCCCCUCCACGCCCCCGCCCACCUCGAGGCUCCCCACCGCCCCCAGUGCGCAGGCCCGGCCGCCCCAGCGCGCAUGCCCUGGGCUCGCGAGCGCGGCCAGCCCCCAGCCUUUUGCUUUCUACACACUCUACAACUGGGGAGGGGGCGGGGGAGGAGGGAGCCCAGCCGUCCACGUGAUCCCGCCGGCCGGGGCCGCGGGGGCGGGAGCGCGCGCCGAGUGAGGCGCGGGGAGGGCGGGUGCGCGGGAGCGCGCGCACACGAGCGAACGAAUGCACGAGCGAGCUGGCGGGCGCUGGGCUGGGCUGAGGCGGGCGGCGGCGGUGGGCCGGCUGCGGAGGGGGAGGAGCGGGUGCUGCGCGCGGCUGGCGGGCGGGCGGAGGAUGGGGCAGUGCCCGGGCUCCCGCUGCAGCCGCCCGGGGACACGCCGUGCACCCUCCAGCUCGGGGCUUUCGCGGCGGCGGCGGCGGCAGCGUUAGCGGCGACGGCGAGAGCAGCGUUCCCGGCUGCGCUUCUCCUCAGGCGGGGCGGCGAGAGAAGCGGCGGCGGCGGCGGCGGCGGCACACCGGUGUCUCUCCCGCGGAGAUUUCUUUCUGCUUUCCUCAUCGACUGA
This 1089-nucleotide long non-coding RNA is filed under the name Callithrix jacchus (white-tufted-ear marmoset). Its description in RNAcentral is "lncRNA (ENSCJAG00000075106.1)". Lineage: Eukaryota; Metazoa; Chordata; Mammalia; Primates; Cebidae. The record is from RNAcentral.